This 711-nucleotide ribosomal RNA is filed under the name Pseudoalteromonas sp. MR04-15. Its description in RNAcentral is "partial 16S ribosomal RNA". It matches the Rfam family "Bacterial small subunit ribosomal RNA", at positions 115 to 829 of the family's 1533-position model. The record is from RNAcentral. Lineage: Bacteria; Pseudomonadati; Pseudomonadota; Gammaproteobacteria; Alteromonadales; Pseudoalteromonadaceae.
GCUUGGGAACAUGCCUUGAGGUGGGGGACAACAGUUGGAAACGACUGCUAAUACCGCAUAAUGUCUACGGACCAAAGGGGGCUUCGGCUCUCGCCUUUANAUUGGCCCAAGUGGGAUUAGCUAGUUGGUGAGGUAAUGGCUCACCAAGGCAACGAUCCCUAGCUGGUUUGAGAGGAUGAUCAGCCACACUGGAACUGAGACACGGUCCAGACUCCUACGGGAGGCAGCAGUGGGGAAUAUUGCACAAUGGGCGAAAGCCUGAUGCAGCCAUGCCGCGUGUGUGAAGAAGGCCUUCGGGUUGUAAAGCACUUUCAGUCAGGAGGAAAGGGUGUGAGUUAAUACCUCAUAUCUGUGACGUUACUGACAGAAGAAGCACCGGCUAACUCCGUGCCAGCAGCCGCGGUAAUACGGAGGGUGCGAGCGUUAAUCGGAAUUACUGGGCGUAAAGCGUACGCAGGCGGUUUGUUAAGCGAGAUGUGNAAGCCCCGGGCUCAACCUGGGAACUGCAUUUCGAACUGGCAAACUANANUGUGAUAGAGGGUGGUAGAAUUUCNGGUGUAGCGGUGAAAUGCGUANAGAUCUGAAGGAAUACCGAUGGCGAAGGCAGCCACCUGGGUCNNNCUGACGCUCAUGUACGAAAGCGUGGGGAGCNAACGGGAUNANAUACCCCGNUAGNCCACGCCGUAAACNAUGUCUACUANAANCUCGGAA